GAACCUGCGGAAGGAUCAUUACCGAGUGAGGGCCCUCUGGGUCCAACCUCCCACCCGUGUUUAUUUUACCUUGUUGCUUCGGCGGGCCCGCCUUAACUGGCCGCCGGGGGGCUUACGCCCCCGGGCCCGCGCCCGCCGAAGACACCCUCGAACUCUGUCUGAAGAUUGUAGUCUGAGUGAAAAUAUAAAUUAUUUAAAACUUUCAACAACGGAUCUCUUGGUUCCGGCAUCGAUGAAGAACGCAGCGAAAUGCGAUACGUAAUGUGAAUUGCAAAUUCAGUGAAUCAUCGAGUCUUUGAACGCACAUUGCGCCCCCUGGUAUUCCGGGGGGCAUGCCUGUCCGAGCGUCAUUGCUGCCCUCAAGCACGGCUUGUGUGUUGGGCCCCGUCCUCCGAUCCCGGGGGACGGGCCCGAAAGGCAGCGGCGGCACCGCGUCCGGUCCUCGAGCGUAUGGGGCUUUGUCACCCGCUCUGUAGGCCCGGCCGGCGCUUGCCGAUCAACCC
Molecule: ribosomal RNA, 503 nt
Filed under: Penicillium chrysogenum
Lineage: Eukaryota; Fungi; Ascomycota; Eurotiomycetes; Eurotiales; Aspergillaceae
Description: eukaryotic LSU rRNA
Rfam family: 5.8S ribosomal RNA (bases 198-350)
Source: RNAcentral